UAAGAAGGAUAGUGUGUAUCAGCUUUAUGCUAACUUCUAUGCAUUUUGCGCUGAAAGUGUUUCCUGCUAUAUAGAUUGAAGGAAAGUGGGCAGUUGGGCUAGACUUGUAUCCUGUUUUCUCCAACAAUCAUUUUCCUCUCAUGU
This is a non-coding RNA of Zea mays, 144 nucleotides long. NCBI's taxonomy places the organism in Eukaryota, Viridiplantae, Streptophyta, Magnoliopsida, Poales, Poaceae. The record is from Rfam.